RNAcentral lists this unclassified non-coding RNA (1238 nucleotides) under Hevea brasiliensis (rubber tree). Lineage: Eukaryota; Viridiplantae; Streptophyta; Magnoliopsida; Malpighiales; Euphorbiaceae. The record is from RNAcentral.
GGCAGGAAUAUUUUGCUCCAAAAUUUUUUUUUUUUGGUGUUGCUGAAACCUCAUUGUAUUUGGUUUGGCCCAUCUUUUCCCCUUCCACCAUCUUCCACUAAGCAUUUAAUUUACCUCAUCAUCUUCCAAUCAUGCGUACAUAUCAUGAAGCUAAAAAUUUUUGCUUGCUUUAAAGCUGGGUUAUUUUCCUGCAGAAAUUUGGAUUUCUAUGUCUGUAUUGAGCAAAUUUGCUUACAGUUUAUCCUUGGGAUUUGUUUUUGAUUUUCAUUCAAGAGAUUAUGUAGUGGGAGUUGGCAGGGUAGAAGCUUUCUGCAGCUUGGGUUGAAGUAUGCCUGUAAUAUAUAUGUAUGGAUCAAUUUGUUAACAUGGCAGUCCCAAUAUUUAGUUCUGUUAUGUGAUUUGUUGUUUAGUAUCAAUGCAGGCCUAUCAAAUUUAAGAUUUAGAGGAUAAUUUGGCUUAUAUGUGAUCUGGAACAGUGGUAGCAUUUUAGGGGAGGGUAUUCAUGCUUUUUUUUUAAUGGUGUAUUGAGAGAUGAUCAUUGAUCUGGCUGCCUGGCCCAAUAACAUAUUUGGUUAGGCUUGGACUAGUAUAGGCUGGUGUGUUCCAGAGCCUGACUGGAUUUUUUACUUGAUUUUGUGUGGUUGGGUUUAGCUGGACAUUGGGUCUCUAUGGCUGCGCGUAGCCUGGUCUGCAUAACUAAGACGUGGAGUAUGAUUGUACUGCAAACUAGUCCAAAAUUGAAAUGCGUGUGUUGCUCUUGUGGCCGUGUUAUACUGCAUUGUGCCUGAAUAUUAUAGGAAUAAAAGGAAAAAGAGUUGUGAAUAAUGCAAUUUGGGGUUAGACAGAAGGGAAAAGGAGGUAAAAUAGAUGGAGCCAAGGGCAAGAUUGUUUCAUGGAUAAUUACUUUUAACAAUACCAUCAUUAAAUUUGUUUGGAGUCUUGUCCACUCUAUAGAUAAGUACAAGGCCAUGCAAAGGAGAAAAUUUUUACUUUGGUAUUUUGACCAUGUAUUUUAUAAUAACAGCUAAGAACCAAGUGUCAGAUUGGGAGUAAUUGCCCAUCUCUUACAGGGAUCUCUGGUGAAAGUUAGAGAUUUCUGAGAAACUGUCCAGCAAUAUGUUUUAUUUGAGUCAUGUCUUUUUUGGCUGCUAUUAUUUUGCUAUCGUUUCCAUCUCAUCUUGGCAUCUCUUUUAUAAUGGUAAAUUAUCAUGUACACAAUAAGAUUUUGAAUAUAUAUU